AACCAGCUCUUCAAGUGGUCGGGAUGAUUAUUGGGCUUAAAGUGUCCGUAGCCGGUUUAGUAAGUUCCUGGUAAAAUCAGGUAGCUUAACUAUCUGUAUGCUAGGAAUACUACUAUACUAGAGGGCGGGAGAGGUCUGAGGUACUACAGGGGUAGGGGUGAAAUCUUAUAAUCCUUGUAGGACCACCAGUGGCGAAGGCGUCAGACUGGAACGUGCCUGACGGUGAGGGACGAAAGCCAGGGGAGCGAACCGGAUUAGAUACCCGGGUAGUCCUGGCCGUAAACGAUGCAUACUAGGUGAUGGCCCGGCCAUGAGCCGUGUCAGUGCCGUAGGGAACCGUUAAGUGUGCCGCCUGGGAAGUACGGUCGCAAGGCUAAAACUUAAAGGAAUUGGUGGGGGAGCACCACAAGGGGUGAAGCCUGCGGUUC
RNAcentral lists this ribosomal RNA (428 nucleotides) under uncultured archaeon. RNAcentral describes it as "bacterial SSU rRNA". It matches the Rfam family "Archaeal small subunit ribosomal RNA", at positions 474 to 903 of the family's 1478-position model. The record is from RNAcentral.